This 901-nucleotide long non-coding RNA is filed under the name Struthio camelus australis. RNAcentral describes it as "lncRNA (ENSSCUG00000002798.1)". Lineage: Eukaryota; Metazoa; Chordata; Aves; Struthioniformes; Struthionidae. The record is from RNAcentral.
CAUCGUGGCCUGCGGCGUAUGAGAAAUCAUUACUGUGAAGGAAUCCUUGCCAAGACUUGGAGAGUGUCUGACCCGCAGAGAAAUCUCAUGGAGGAUCCAAAGCAGUGACUGGCAAUCGUGAGAGCUGCAUAGAGAAGGGAGUCUGAGACUGCUCUAUGAUACUGAGUUUCCGUAUACAGAUGAUAGGAGAGCGUGCCAGGCUUCAUCCGGACGUGACACGUGCCCUCAAACCUCAGACUAGAAAGGAUGGGACGCAUCGUGUGCGGUGAGGUACAGAUGCGAGCAGGUGGCUAUUGCCGAAGGGCAGACACAGCCAGUUGAUGCAGGUGCGCCUGGUAGGCUGUUGGCUGCAGUAAGCAAUAGCUUGGGUGUGAAGGUGACACAAGGCUUUUUCCAGAAUGUGGUUUGUUUUUACCAGGCCCUCUGCAAAGAGUGGUUAGCUUGUCCUUUUCCCAUCACCUCGCUUUAUGCUGUGUGCUAACGUGAAAUGACGAGCUUGUCUCCCUCCCUUCUCCCCAUCAGGGCCACGAGCGCUGAGAUCCGCGUUGACACAUGCACACUCACCCGCAGUAAGGGAGCUCCUGCUGCUGCAGAGUGAGGCUCUUCCUGUGGCAGCAAGAAGAUGGCUGUAAGCAUCGGGAGGAUUUUUUUUAUUACAGUAAGCAGAGAGUUUACAACUGGUUUCCUGUCUGAAUGGGUUUCCCUUGAGCAAUCCCCAUACCCGUACAAUCCUCAACCAGAAAAACAACUCACAGCAAGUCUGUCAAGAGCACUGGCACAGAUGCCUGAAACAUCUCUCUUCCAGACAGGAGAGGACAGACUCUGCAGAGCUACAGGAGUCGCUGCAUGUUUCAGCACAGAAGAAUGGAAACAAAUCUCUCAGAUGUUGGAUUUCCCAUGA